GGGGCGCUACCUGCAGUCGAACGGUAACAGGAAGCAGCUUGCUGCUUUGCUGACGAGUGGCGGACGGGUGAGUAAUGUCUGGGAAACUGCCUGAUGGAGGGGGAUAACUACUGGAAACGGUAGCUAAUACCGCAUAACGUCGCAAGACCAAAGAGGGGGACCUUCGGGCCUCUUGCCAUCGGAUGUGCCCAGAUGGGAUUAGCUAGUAGGUGGGGUAACGGCUCACCUAGGCGACGAUCCCUAGCUGGUCUGAGAGGAUGACCAGCCACACUGGAACUGAGACACGGUCCAGACUCCUACGGGAGGCAGCAGUGGGGAAUAUUGCACAAUGGGCGCAAGCCUGAUGCAGCCAUGCCGCGUGUAUGAAGAAGGCCUUCGGGUUGUAAAGUACUUUCAGCGGGGAGGAAGGGAGUAAAGUUAAUACCUUUGCUCAUUGACGUUACCCGCAGAAGAAGCACCGGCUAACUCCGUGCCAGCAGCCGCGGUAAUACGGAGGGUGCAAGCGUUAAUCGGAAUUACUGGGCGUAAAGCGCACGCAGGCGGUUUGUUAAGUCAGAUGUGAAAUCCCCGGGCUCAACCUGGGAACUGCAUCUGAUACUG
Molecule: ribosomal RNA, 600 nt
Filed under: Escherichia coli
Lineage: Bacteria; Pseudomonadati; Pseudomonadota; Gammaproteobacteria; Enterobacterales; Enterobacteriaceae
Description: bacterial SSU rRNA
Rfam family: Bacterial small subunit ribosomal RNA
Source: RNAcentral